This 468-nucleotide ribosomal RNA is filed under the name uncultured bacterium. Its description in RNAcentral is "partial 16S ribosomal RNA". It matches the Rfam family "Bacterial small subunit ribosomal RNA", at positions 28 to 507 of the family's 1533-position model. The record is from RNAcentral.
GACGAACGCUGGCGGCGUGCUUAACACAUGCAAGUCGAACGGAAAGGCCCUGCUUUUGUGGGGUGCUCGAGUGGCGAACGGGUGAGUAACACGUGAGUAACCUGCCCUUGACUUUGGGAUAACUUCAGGAAACUGGGGCUAAUACCGGAUAGGAGCUCCUGCUGCAUGGUGGGGGUUGGAAAGUUUCGGCGGUUGGGGAUGGACUCGCGGCUUAUCAGCUUGUUGGUGGGGUAGUGGCUUACCAAGUCUUUGACGGGUAGCCGGCCUGAGAGGGUGACCGGCCACAUUGGGACUGAGAUACGGCCCAGACUCCUACGGGAGGCAGCAGUGGGGAUUAUUGCACAAUGGGCGGAAGCCUGAUGCAGCAACGCCGCGUGCGGGAUGACGGCCUUCGGGUUGUAAACCGCUUUCGCCUGUGACGAAGCGUGAGUGACGGUAAUGGGUAAAGAAGCACCGGCUAACUACGUG